Molecule: ribosomal RNA, 254 nt
Filed under: uncultured prokaryote
Description: partial 16S ribosomal RNA
Rfam family: Bacterial small subunit ribosomal RNA
Source: RNAcentral
UACGGGGGGGGCAAGCGUUGUUCGGAAUUACUGGGCGUAAAGGGCUCGUAGGUGGCCACCUAAGCCAUGCGUGAAAUCCCUCGGCUUAACCGGGGAACUGCGUCUGAUACUGGAUGGCUUGAGUUUGGGAGAGGGAUGCGGAAUUCCAGGUGUAGCGGUGAAAUGCGUAGAUAUCAAGAGGAACACCUGAGGUGAAGACGGGUUGCUGGGCCGACACUGACGCUGACAGCGCGAAAGCCAGGGGAGCAAACGGG